This 400-nucleotide ribosomal RNA is filed under the name uncultured bacterium. Its description in RNAcentral is "bacterial SSU rRNA". It matches the Rfam family "Bacterial small subunit ribosomal RNA", at positions 356 to 773 of the family's 1533-position model. The record is from RNAcentral.
GGGGAAUAUUGGGCAAUGGGCGAAAGCCUGACCCAGCAACGCCGCGUGAAGGAAGAAGGUUUUCGGAUCGUAAACUUCUAUCCUAGGUGAAGAUAAUGACGGUAGCCUAGAAGGAAGCCCCGGCUAACUACGUGCCAGCAGCCGCGGUAAUACGUAGGGGGCAAGCGUUGUCCGGAAUGAUUGGGCGUAAAGGGCGCGUAGGCGGCCUUUUAAGUCCGAUGUGAAAGUCCUGCUUUUAAGGUGGGAAUCGCAUUGGAAACUGGAAGGCUUGAGUGCAGGAGAGGUAAGUGGAAUUCCCGGUGUAGCGGUGAAAUGCGUAGAGAUCGGGAGGAACACCAGUGGCGAAGGCGACUUACUGGACUGUAACUGACGCUGAGGCGCGAAAGUGUGGGGAGCAAAC